AUGGUCUUAGCUUGCUAAGGCCGAUGGCGACCGGCGCACGGGUGAGUAACACGUAUCCAACCUGCCGUCUACUCUUGGACAGCCUUCUGAAAGGAAGAUUAAUACAAGAUGGCAUCAUGAGUCCGCAUGUUCACAUGAUUAAAGGUGUUCCGGUAGACGAUGGGGAUGCGUUCCAUUAGAUAGUAGGCGGGGUAACGGCCCACCAAGGCUACGAUCGGUAGGGGUUCUGAGAGGAAGGCCCCCACAAUGGGACUGAGACACGGCCCAUACUCC
Molecule: ribosomal RNA, 273 nt
Filed under: uncultured Bacteroides sp.
Lineage: Bacteria; Pseudomonadati; Bacteroidota; Bacteroidia; Bacteroidales; Bacteroidaceae
Description: partial 16S ribosomal RNA
Rfam family: Bacterial small subunit ribosomal RNA
Source: RNAcentral